CGACCGGCGCACGGGUGGGUAACACGUAUCCAACCUGCCGUCUACUCUUGGCCAGCCUUCUGAAAGGAAGAUUAAUCCAGGAUGGGAUCAUGAGUUCACAUGUCCGCAUGAUUAAAGGUAUUUUCCGGUAGACGAUGGGGAUGCGUUCCAUUAGAUAGUAGGCGGGGUAACGGCCCACCUAGUCAACGAUGGAUAGGGGUUCUGAGAGGAAGGUCCCCCACAUUGGAACUGAGACACGGUCCAA
RNAcentral lists this ribosomal RNA (244 nucleotides) under uncultured bacterium. Its description in RNAcentral is "partial 16S ribosomal RNA". It matches the Rfam family "Bacterial small subunit ribosomal RNA", at positions 92 to 334 of the family's 1533-position model. The record is from RNAcentral.